GCAUAGCGGGAUUUCUUAUAAGCGUCCGGGUUAGAGUCCCAUCAAGCUCACCCCACGAGAAGCAGUGCAUGAUCAACGCCAUCCUCAGCAAGGAGAUCUGCUAGAAGUGAUGUUCUCUCUCACUCUGGGGGUACAGGCAGAGAUGACUGGGGCCUUCAGCAAGUAAGACACAGGGGGUACUGACAGGAGGACAGGAGGAGCAAUAGGAGUCUGUCAGAGGUUUCUGGAUGGGGAUGGUGAUGGAGGCUUUGGUGGUCCACACCACAAAGAAGUAGGUGUCCCUUCCAGUAAUGUGGAGCUGACCUUGGACCUGGUGCCAGUAAGGAUGGUCUUUACGGAGGCGGUAAGACCCUACCUCCUUGAUAUAGAAAUCCUUCAACUUCACUGCCUCUUCAAUGGUAAGGUCCCUUGCACCAUAGGGACACUUGACUUCCACCACUGCUGUGGCACCACUGCUGUGGUGCCCACCAGACCAUCUGGUGAGGCACCCAGGAUCCCAGACUCUGUGACCCAAAGCCCUGACUCCUACAGAUCCAUCCCUGUAGCCAUUUUGAAUGACUUGAGGCCCUCCUCUUCGUUAUCUGUGCCCCACUUUACAGACAACACCCCAUCCAAUGACUGUGAUCUGAGGACCCUUUUUAGCAGCGAUGGAGUAAUGCGCUUGGCCCUAACCACUGCUCCAUAAUUGCUGGCCCUAACCACUGCUCCAUAAUUGCUGGCCGUCAACCUCCCUUCUCCUCAUGGUGUGCCAGUUGGGGUUGGUGCGCCCUUGUUUUUUAACAAUGUCCGGUACAAACAGGGAUGGCAGGAAGGGUAGCGAAUGUUCUGGCUCAGGUUCAAUGAGACAUGACAUUCCACUGAACCUGCCCCGGAUACGGUUCCUUAGCCAUUGAAGAUCCUCCUCUGUUGGAUCUCGGGACAGAGGGUUGUAGUCUUUGGCCGGGUACAGGUCCUCCACUAACUGCACCUGGUUGGGCACGGCUGGCUUCCUCCAGUGGCCUUCCACAUCCGUACGGCCGAUAUUGUGAACUGCCAAAAUAGGCUGCAUGGCUACACUUAUGAGCUCCACGGAGGCAUUUGCAUGUGGUAGAGAGAAUCUCCUGGUCACAUAUAGACACCUGCCAAGAGGAAUGAUGUUAA
This is a long non-coding RNA of Coregonus clupeaformis (lake whitefish), 1140 nucleotides long. RefSeq lists it as uncharacterized. The record is from RefSeq and is a predicted model, not a curated record. The transcript has 3 exons. Lineage: Eukaryota; Metazoa; Chordata; Actinopteri; Salmoniformes; Salmonidae.